Long non-coding RNA from Toxotes jaculatrix (banded archerfish), 1129 nucleotides. RefSeq lists it as uncharacterized. The record is from RefSeq and is a predicted model, not a curated record. The transcript has 5 exons. Lineage: Eukaryota; Metazoa; Chordata; Actinopteri; Toxotidae.
UGUCUCCAGCUCACUUGUCUAUAAAUGUCAUCUCCUUGUAUCGCUAACUUCCCUUUCCACCUGUCACUCACCUCUGAUCUCUCUCAUCUCUGUAUUCAGAGUCGCGCUUUCACUCUCAAACGCCUGUCUCUGCCAGCAUCUAGAAGCAUCGACCACAUCACAGACAUCUGUUGCACAGUGCACCCCUGAAAGCUAUGAUUCUGCUGUUGGAGAUCUUGAAAUGGAAGACAGUCAACACAUCAAAGGCAUAAAGAAAUGACUGGCUUGGAGCAAACAUUUCUACGCUUGCCUGACCUUCCAGAAAUGACGAAAGAUAUUUUAGAAGAGGCCUUACAGUCCAUUGGGGUGGAGACAUAUGAUGAUUUCCUGUUUGUUGAGGAAGCAGAUUUGCUGACAGCUUUGAGACCAGUUCAGGCCUGAAAAGUCCCAGCUGCUUUGAAACGGAGAUGUCAGACUCCUGAAACAAGUAGCUCAUCUUUUUGUGCCUCACCACCAGGGCCUCCCUCAUCUUUGGAGUCUCUUUCACCCAGAAGUUCUUCUUCAACCUCUUCCAAUAGCAGUCAAAGUCCUAAUGUAGAUUGGGUGGAGACCUUCGCAAUACCCUGGGAUAAGUUCCCAGAGGAACUGAUACAGUCACUGGAGAGAGGAAGACGACCAAGUCCACGACUGAAGAGAGAGAUAGUCCGACUUGUGAUGUUUUUUCUCCAUCAACCAGGAGAAGGGACCUAAAGUGGAGAAGACACACACUUCUCGUCUGCACGUGAACCCAAGGGUCCUUACCCUGAUCCAAGAACUUUCAGAUCAUGAGUGGCGUGAUUUCUGAACUGUAAGUGGAUGACAUCAUCAGAUGCCUUAAUGUUGGCAAGUUUAAGUAGGAAGUUUCAGACAAAAUAGUUUUUAGGUGACACUUUUUACACUAUUUUUUAUUGCUCUUGUAUGAUUUGUCAUAGUAGUGUAUUUUGUUGAGUGAGUAACUUAAGUAAGCGUAAGAGAGGACAAGUGGCAGACUGCUACUGUUGAUGGUCAGAGACAGUGAUGGUGAAUUUGUGCUGAGUGGAGGAAAAGCUGAGCAGUUAAGUUGUUAGUCUGGCAGUUAAUGUUCAGUUUAGGUUGAAGUUUGUCAGUGAAU